RNAcentral lists this ribosomal RNA (253 nucleotides) under uncultured bacterium. RNAcentral's name for it is "partial 16S ribosomal RNA". It matches the Rfam family "Bacterial small subunit ribosomal RNA", at positions 524 to 776 of the family's 1533-position model. The record is from RNAcentral.
UACGUAGGGGGCAAGCGUUGUCCGGAAUCAUUGGGCGUAAAGCGCGUGUAGGCGGCCCGGUAAGUCCGCUGUGAAAGUCGGGGGCUCAACCCUCGAAUGCCGGUGGAUACUGUCGGGCUAGAGUGCGGAAGAGGCGAGUGGAAUUCCUCGUGUAGCGGUGAAAUGCGCAGAUAUCAGGAGGAACACCAAUUGCGAAGGCAGCUCGCUGGGACGUGACUGACGCUGAGACGCGAAAGCGUGGGGAGCAAACAGG